CCCCUACGGGGGGCAGCAGUGGGGGAUAUUGCACAAUGGGGGAAACCCUGAUGCAGCGACGCCGCGUGAGUGAAGAAGUAUUUCGGUAUGUAAAGCUCUAUCAGCAGGGAAGAAAAAAGACGGUACCUGACUAAGAAGCCCCGGCUAACUACGUGCCAGCAGCCGCGGUAAUACGUAGGGGGCAAGCGUUAUCCGGAUUUACUGGGUGUAAAGGGAGCGUAGGCGGUUAUGCAAGUUGAAUGUGAAAUCUAUCGGCUCAACUGAUAGGCUGCGUUCAAAACUGUAUAUCUUGAGUGAAGUAGAGG
Molecule: ribosomal RNA, 305 nt
Filed under: uncultured bacterium
Lineage: Bacteria
Description: partial 16S ribosomal RNA
Rfam family: Bacterial small subunit ribosomal RNA
Source: RNAcentral